GUACACGCUGUGACUAGCAUAUCAAUAAGCGGAGGAAAAGAAACUAACAAGGAUUCCCCUAGUAACGGCGAGUGAAGCGGGAAGAGCUCAAAUUUGAAAUCUUAAAGGGUUUCCCUUUACGAAUUGUAGUUUAAAGAAGUGUUUUCUGUUGAGGUUUUGGUAAAAGUUCUUUGGAAUAGGACAUCAUAGAGGGUGAGAAUCCCGUAUUCGACCUUUACUUUCAACUUUGUGAUACACUUUCAAAGAGUCGGAUUGUUUGGGAAUGCAGUCCAAAAUGGGUGGUAAAUUUCAUCUAAAGCUAAAUAUUGGCGAGAGACCGAUAGCGAACAAGUACCGUGAGGGAAAGAUGAAAAGAACUUUGAAAAGAGAGUUAAACAGUACGUGAAAUUGUCAAAAGGGAAGCGUUUGACACCAGUGUUGUUUUUCUGAAAAUCAAUUAAAGAACUGUUUAUGCUAAGUUGUUUAGACUUUAUCAGCUAACUGUUUAGUUUUGAGCUUUUCUUUAAUGCACUUUUCAGUUAACAAGUCAACAUCAAUUUCUUUUGCUGUAAAAAAGCUUGAGGAAGGUGGCUUGAGAUUCGUCUUAAGUGUUUAUAGCCUCUUGCCUAUGCAGUCGGAGAGAUUGAGGUCUGCAGCGUAGAUCCUUCGGGGCUAAAUGCAUUUGUGCUAAGUUAUAGCAUUUUAUAGACAACUUGUUGACUAUGAUUUGUCUUGUAGCUUACUCGCUUAUGUUAUUUUACCUACGCUUAGGAUGUUGACAGCAGUAUAGACUGU
This 774-nucleotide ribosomal RNA is filed under the name uncultured Neocallimastigales. RNAcentral's name for it is "partial large subunit ribosomal RNA". It matches the Rfam family "Eukaryotic large subunit ribosomal RNA", at positions 22 to 637 of the family's 3401-position model. The record is from RNAcentral. Lineage: Eukaryota; Fungi; Neocallimastigomycota; Neocallimastigomycetes; Neocallimastigales.